GUGAGUGCAUGACUGCACCAUCGUGCACAGGGAUGUAGAGGGCCGGUGACUGUGCAGUUGGGGCUGUGUCCCGCGUUUCUAUUGUUAAGAGGAAGAGUAAAGAACGAUUAUUGAACAUCUAGAGGCCAAGAUCAAGAUCAACAGACAAGAAAUCAAGGUACAGAAGAACUCAAUGCCAUCUAUAGAUUGAC
Callorhinus ursinus (northern fur seal) is the source of this 191-nucleotide non-coding RNA. The record is from RefSeq and is a predicted model, not a curated record. Lineage: Eukaryota; Metazoa; Chordata; Mammalia; Carnivora; Otariidae.